This 1055-nucleotide long non-coding RNA is filed under the name Zonotrichia albicollis (white-throated sparrow). RNAcentral describes it as "lncRNA (ENSZALG00000002466.1)". The record is from RNAcentral. Lineage: Eukaryota; Metazoa; Chordata; Aves; Passeriformes; Passerellidae.
AAACCAUAUGAACUAGGAAAGAAAACAUUCAGUAUAAAUGAUAAUGUAAGAUCAUGUAACUUUCAGAUACCUAAAGAAUGAAGACAGUGUCAAAAUACACAUUUGGUAUGUCAGAUUAAAUCUGCACAAGAACCUCUAACCUAGCAUAAACUAAAUUCUUACAAAACUUGAUUUCACAACCUUAUCUUUUUCCCAAAAAAAUGCUCAGUUUUAAAAUGCAGCAAAAUCUUAAAACGCAAUCCAUCAUCUGGAGCUAAAUUUAUGCCUUUGUGCUCCCUUAACAGUUUUAGAAUUCAGAUGCCAAGCAGAGAUCUUUACCAAUUAGGGUAACAAGCUGAUCAGCCAGGAGGUUAUUUGGGAACUCCACGGAGAAGCCCAUGAGGUUUUUUUGUGAUUCAUGAUGAUGACAGAGAAGCGCAGGUUCCACUUUAGUUUUUUACUUUCUGCCCAGUGCCAUCUUUCCUCAGCUGACUCAUUUUGCACCUUUCCUUGUCCCAGUUGCUGUCUUCUCUCUCUGCAGACCUUUGGUCCUCAUUGAAGGUUUCCAUUCCUUUGCUCUGCAAUUUGAGCUGCUCCCCCUCAUCCCUUUGCUUCCUCAUCCUCUCCCAAGCUCCUUUCCCAUGUCAGCUGGAGUUCUCCUCCUCCUCCCCCUCGCUGAAGCACCAGGAUGGGAGCAACCAGAGUGCACCAGAAAUCACUUCCACCUCCUCUGCUCGGUGCUGCAGCAUCCUCAGCUUGUUGGAAGAUGUCAGGGCAGGGAUGUCCUGCUCACCCCCAUCAGCUGUGACUGUCUGAAAUCUGUUUCAGAGCCAGAAAUACAGAUUGAAUCUCAGGACUUCUACACCUUUGGUUCAGCAGCAAGACCAUCUGUCACUUCUAAUUCCUGCUAUGAAAAAGAUGAUCUAGUUAUCUUUGAUGGAAUAGUUCUGAAUUUGCAAGCUAGAGUCUUCUCCUUUUCCUCAAUUAGAUUUUCCUCCCCUCCUACAUGCUGGAAUCUCUAUUUGAAGGUUCAGCCUUGGAUAAAGCUAAACCCCAAAAGAAUGAUGUCUUUUUAA